AGUUUUAAACCUAAUAAUUAGAAGCCCAACCGAAAUGAUAAUGUGAAGGAGCCAGUGAGGAGUCAUGCAGUUGACGGAGAUCAACCCGAUCAUCGAAACCACAAUUGAAUCAUGGAUGAAGAAGUAGCUGGGUUCUGAGAUCGCAGACUAGAGCAGUGAUUGCGGAGACCUGAAGCUUCUUCUAUGUAAUCUUGAGUUGCGUUCUGUCCACAACAGAUAAAUCACACAUUGCCAAGCAAUCAGAAGAAGUUUUUUGUAAGGACGCAAGUUGAUGAGAUAAGAAGAAGAGGUGAUCGCGCGAUUCCGACGCAGCAUUGCAGAGUAAACAAGCAGGAUCCGUAGUGAGCCCCCAAUUGAGUAAUCGGUCUCUAGUUGGACAUUUGUUAAGAACAAAGAGCCAAGAGAGGAAGUUGUGUUUAGGAAUUCCACCUUUACACCAGAUAAUAUCAAACCAAGGCACCAGAGGAGCGUGAUGCUUCAGCUGUUUGUAUAUAGCACUGGUGCUGUAAUCUUUCCAGACCACCCCGUCUACCUCCCAUUCUUGCCAUUUGCGUUGAUGUCCUUUACCAUCGCAUUUGCAGGGACACCCAUUUUUCUAGAUAUCAAGCUUCUAGACUACCAAAGGGAGUCCAAUUGUCUGUCCAAAAGCGGGUUCUCGCUCCAUUUCCAAGCUUGACUUUCACCCAAGGAAAUUGCUUAAUGACCCAUCAAGCACUUCCUUCUUGUACUAAGCCACCCAAAGAGAGCCAGAGUUACAGAAUAGGAUCCAGAUUAGUUUGAGAAUGCACGCCUUGUUCCAAGCCACCAGGUCCCUACAGUUCAAACCGCCUCGGCCUGUUUGUUUUAGGCCUUAUUGUAUUAUCAGUUUGCUCUAUGUUGGGUUUUUGUUUAUACUUUCAGUUUGAAUAAUAUUAAUAAUAGACGACAAAAAAAAAAAAAUCACUGAAUACUGAAGAUG
Molecule: long non-coding RNA, 958 nt
Organism: Brassica oleracea var. oleracea
Lineage: Eukaryota; Viridiplantae; Streptophyta; Magnoliopsida; Brassicales; Brassicaceae
Exons: 4
Source: RefSeq, a predicted model, not a curated record